AUUAAAAGAAAUUAAUUUAUUUACCUUUUGUAUCAGGGUUUUUUAAAAUUAUUAAUUAGUUAAAUUUCUCGAAUCUAUAAUGAACUAAUUAGUUUAUAUUUGUUGUAUUAAAUAAUUAAUUAUAUUAGUAAUGAAAUGUUAUCGUAUUUUGGGUUAUCUAGUUAUUUAAAUAAUUUAAAAUAUAUAGUUAAUUUUAAAUUAAUCAAAUAUAAAAGUUAAUUUUUUUAUUUUAAUAUAUAAAAUUUUAUAUAUUAUUAAUUAGGUUUAAUAUUAAUCAUAUUAAUAUAUUUUUAUAAAUAAAUAAUUAUUUAAUUAUUUUUAUUAUAUUUAUUUAAGUUAUUAAAAUUAAUAUAUAAUUUUUAAAAAUAAUGAAUUAAUUAGUACUAGUUUUAUAUUAUAUAUUUAACUUGAGGUUUAUUUGAUAGUUUAACAAAAACAUUUUUUUUAGUAAAUUUUAAGUAAGGCCUGCCCAGUGAAUUUAAACGGCUGCAGUAUUUUAACUGUACUAAGGUAGCAUAAUCAUUUGUUUUUUAAUUGAGGACUGGUAUGAAUGGUUUUACAAAUAAUUAACUAUAAUAUAUUUAUAUAGUAAUUUUUAUUUUAAAUAAAAAUAUUUAAAUAUAAUAAAGGGACGAUAAGACCCUAAAAGCUUUAUUUAUAAAUUUUAUUUAAAAUAAAUAAAAAUAAGUAAAUUUAGUUGGGGUAAUGUAGGUAAAAGUUUUAUUUUAAAAUUAUACAUUAAUAUAUGGUUAUUUGAUCUUUUAUAUAAAGAAAAAUAGAAUUAGUUACUUUAGGGAUAACAGCGUAAUAAUUUUAGAAAGGUCUUAUUAAUAAAGUUGAUUACGACCUCGAUGUUGAAUUAAAAUGUCUAUAUGCUGCAGUAGGUAUAUAAGAAGGUUUGUUCAACCUUUUAUUUUUUACAUGAUUUGAGUUCAAAU
This 938-nucleotide ribosomal RNA is filed under the name Niphargus rhenorhodanensis. RNAcentral describes it as "partial 16S ribosomal RNA". The record is from RNAcentral. Lineage: Eukaryota; Metazoa; Arthropoda; Malacostraca; Amphipoda; Niphargidae.